RNAcentral lists this ribosomal RNA (461 nucleotides) under uncultured bacterium. RNAcentral's name for it is "bacterial SSU rRNA". It matches the Rfam family "Bacterial small subunit ribosomal RNA", at positions 30 to 504 of the family's 1533-position model. The record is from RNAcentral.
UGAACGCUGGCGGCGUGCUUAACACAUGCAAGUCGAACGAGAACGGGCCUAGCUUGCUAGGCUGUCAGCUAAGUGGCGGACGGGUGAGUAAUGUAUAGUUAAUCUGCCCUUUAGAGGGGGAUAACAGUUGGAAACGACUGCUAAUACCCCAUACUCCUUUUACCUUAAUGGUAAUUGGGAAACGUUUUUUCGCUAAAGGAUGAGACUAUAUGGUAUCAGGUAGUUGGUGGGGUAAGAGCCUACCAAGCCAAUGACGCCUAGCUGGUCUGAGAGGAUGAUCAGCCACACUGGAACUGAGACACGGUCCAGACUCCUACGGGAGGCAGCAGUGGGGAAUAUUGCACAAUGGAGGAAACUCUGAUGCAGCAACGCCGCGUGGAGGAUGACGCAUUUCGGUGUGUAAACUCCUUUUAUAUGGGAAGAUAAUGACGGUACCACUGAAGGUAGCACCGGCUAACUCC